GGGUGCAUCUAGAUGGAAUCUAUCGAUCUUGAUAGAUUAGGAGAGAUCCUAUGUGAUUUAUGAAACUGAGUUCGUAAAUCCUCGGCCGGGGUAGUAUGUACAGUGGAAAAGGAGUUUUCCACUCACGAACUUAAGUCGAAUAAAUCUUGACAUAUGACAGACGAUGGGGUUUGACGAGUUAUCCAUGACCUCCGUCAUGUAGGGAUCCACGAUAGAAGGACUGUAUCAUAUGAUAACUGCACCUAGAGGUUCAUCAUUCCAUUCUGCUGGGUUGCUACUACAUGCUGCUAGGUAUCACUGGUGGANN
This 307-nucleotide long non-coding RNA is filed under the name Phoenix dactylifera (date palm). RNAcentral describes it as "long non-coding RNA (PDAC_LNC006370)". The record is from RNAcentral. Lineage: Eukaryota; Viridiplantae; Streptophyta; Magnoliopsida; Arecales; Arecaceae.